RNAcentral lists this transfer RNA (64 nucleotides) under Magallana gigas (Pacific oyster). RNAcentral's name for it is "Crassostrea gigas (Pacific oyster) tRNA". It matches the Rfam family "tRNA", at positions 5 to 66 of the family's 71-position model. Rfam says of the family: Transfer RNA (tRNA) molecules are approximately 80 nucleotides in length. Their secondary structure includes four short double-helical elements and three loops (D, anti-codon, and T loops). The record is from Rfam by way of RNAcentral. Lineage: Eukaryota; Metazoa; Mollusca; Bivalvia; Ostreida; Ostreidae.
AGAUAGCUCAGUUGGUAGAGCACCUGACUAGAGAUUCAGGAGGCCCAGGUUUAAAUCCCGGUUU